CUUGGGUGAUGUGUGCUCCAAAAUCUCACAAAUCACCAAUAAAGAACUUACUCAUGUAACCAACAUGAGUUAUAAAGAACAACUAAUGACCUGUAAUAACCUGUGGAAAAAUAAAUAAAUAAGAAGAAAAAAGAGAUAGUAUUCAAUAAAAUAAAAGGUGAAGAACGAUGUCUGGUAUACCAGUCAGCUGAGUUACAAAAACAAAAAUCUGUGUCUGUGUGUACAUGUGUGUUUUAUUUUAUAUCUUUCCUUUUGUGUUUAUACAUAUCCAUACCCACACACAGAAUCUGCUUGUACAGGGAUAGAAUGUCUCUAGAAACAGUUACAAGGAAGUUAUCACACUGGUUUAUUCCAUGGGUGGAGGUACGGGAGCUUGUGUUCAAAGGAAAUUUUUUUACUAUAUACUUUUCACAUCUUUUGCGUUAUUUUGUGAAUGUGUUACUCUUCCAAAUAAACACACACAUUAACAAAACAAUACAAACACUAAGGAAAAAAUUUCAGAAGAGAGAGGUGAAUAUUUUUGACUCAGAUAUCCAUCUGGCUUUUGAAUUCUCCAGUACUCCUUGCAAUGAAAUUGUCAAACUGCCAACAGAGAAGCAUUAUUCAGGGUUCUUGGUUUUCUGAGUGUCAAGGCUCUCUUUGGCAUUUGGUAAUACUUUAGAAAUGUUUACAGAAACAAAAUUCAUGGGAAUAAAAUAUAGAAGUUAUAUUGAAAAAAUUAAAAUAUUUUUAAUUUGUCGAUUUAGUAAUAAAUGAACUGCUUUAUUAAUGCUAUAUAUGAUUUACUGACAUGAAAUUUUGAAUUAUCUACAAAAAUUGUAGUGUGAUAUAAAAUUAUUCGUAAUUUCUAUUGGUGAUAAAGCACUCUAAAUAGUACUGUGGUUUGUUGUUUACAAUUGUCAUUAAACGAAAUGUUAAAUUUCUGUUGGAUGUUAGUAAGAAUAAAGGAAUAUAUUUUUUUCCUACUCAUGUUCACAGACUCCUGAAAGAGUUUUUGGGGGUAUGCUGGAAAAGAAAUAACUUUGGAUCAAUCCACUGAACAAAACAUAGUAAGGUCUAUGACGGAGCACUAGCCAGCCUGAGGAUAUCCCAAGACUCACCACAGAGACAAUGUGUGAGCUAGGUCUUACAAGACAAGCAAGAAUUUGCCAGAUGAAUAAGGAGAAAAAUGAACGUUUCAAGAGAAGGAACAAUGUGAACAAUAGCAGAAAGGUGUGGAAACUUGUGGAACUGCAACACAGAGACAAUUAUUUGUAUUUCAUUAAUCCUGAUGCACAAAGUAAAGGGAGGAGUUGGGGGAGAUGAGUCUGCAGAGAAGGACACGAAUGUGCAUUGGAGAACGCUGUACGCAUUGCUGAGGAGCUUGGAUUUUAUUCAGUGAGCAACGGGGAGCCUCUGAAGAACUAUAAUGAGGGAAGUUACAUGGUCUGAAUUGUGUUUUCUGUUGAGUGCUCUGGCUGCACUAUGGAAGAUGGGUUUAGGUUGGUGGGAGACCUAAGUCUGUGCAGAGAUAAUUAGUAAUGAAAUGGGAACAUACCUUUUAGAAUGAGGACAUAGGAUAGCGCUAAGAAAUACUUAUGAUACUGUGGUAGAUUGGGUCGUAAGUCUCUAAUUCUUUGUGUUCUCCCUGUUUUGGAAUUACACGCCCACAGCAUUUGCCACGUGAGAUUGUCCCUUGCACUAGAGGCAGAGUAUAUUUCCCACCCCUUGUCUUUGGGCUUAAUUAUUUUCUUUGGACAAUGGGAUAUGAGUAGACUUGUUAUAAACAGAGGUUUGAUAUGUGAGUAUGCAAUUAACCCUCUUGAAUUUAUCACCACAAAACAUACUCUAGGUAGCUUCUAGUUCCAGGAGGAUGGGAAUACCUCUGAAUCUCAUACUUGGUCUGAGGCCAAACCCAGUUGCCUUGCAGUCUGAAGCAGAGCAUCCCUGAUAGGUCCAGCCUAAAUCAGCAGAAACACAGUCACCCCCUAGAACCAUACAAAUGAGAACAAAUGCCUACAGUGGCCAGCCACUGAGAUUUUCAGGUUGUUUUUUAUGUAAUACAAGGUGAUAAGUAGAGAUAUUAAGUUAGAAGUAUUCAGUAGUUGAAUGGAUAUAGAGUUUAGAAAAUGGGGAACCAGUGGAAGAGAUUCUCUAGGUUCUGAUUAGAGUAGUUGAGGAUAUAACAGUUCAAAAAAUGAGACAGAAUUAGUGGAAGAGAAACAGCUUUUGUGGCAGAAGUUAACGAGGUCACUAUGAGAUAUUUUGAGUUGGAACUCUUGGUGAAACAUUUACAUGAGAUGAUUUAACCUUCAGUUGUAUAUUUAAGUCAAGGUUUGAAAAGAAAUCAAGAUUGAAGUCAGAAAAGUGUAAGUCAUUAGGUUAUAGUGGGUAGCUAAUAUCAUGAAAGUUAUUAAGAUGGCUCAGGGAGAGGGAAUAGUGAAUAUAAAAUUGGGCCAAAGAAAAAACAGUGAUAACUCAAAGAAAGUCUUGAUAGAGUAGAAGGAAUCAAUAAAAGAUGCUGAGAAAAAAUUGUUUAUAGCUAGAUGGAGAAACACAGUAUUACAGAAAAUAAGAGAUAAGUGAGUUUUAAGAAGAGAUAGAACAAUAUUAUUGAAUAUGGCUAUAAUGGGCUGGUGUAGAGCCAAACUGCAAGUGGCAUGAUUUGAGAAGAAAAUCUUAUUUUUGUCAGAAACAUAUUCCUAAACUAGCAAUUGCAUCCAUAUAUCUCAACCACAAGCAGGCCUUUAUGUAAUGGAAUAGCAGAUUCGGGAGAUUAGUUACCUUUAUAUAAGUCUAUUUAUAAUGUUAUAAGCAAAAUUGAACAGAUUACUUUAAAACCCUACAUAUCAAAUAUUAAAGUAUUUCUUCAGACUCUUUACAUAAUUAAUAUCUGAUUCUUGAAACAACCAUGGAGGUAGGAGCAACCGAUGAAUUGCCAUUCAAACUCAAACUUCAAAUUUGGCUUCAAAUCCCAUUUCUUUAGCAACAUUACAUCAUAUAGAUUAUGGCUACGAAGUGGAAUACCAAUUAUGUGUGAGUGUGUUUCCAUGUCUCAGUAUCUAAUGAGCCCAUUUGAUCUAUGAGAAUCACUUUGGUUAUUACCGAAAGCAGACAAGAGCAUUUUAGCAGUAACUAUGCUUUAUUGCAUCUGUUAAGCAGAAAUGUAGGCAAUCUAGGAUCAAGGCAUGACAAAACGUGUUUCUAGCUCUGUUUUAAAGCCUUAUUAUGCUUUGCCUAAAUGUUUUAAAACAUUAUGUUCCAGCAAUGUUGGAUUUAAUUGAAAGCUGUCUUAUAAAAUUAAUUCAGUCAAAUGCAAUUGGUGAAAGUUGUUGAGAGACAGUGGUGUUCAUUUUUUCAAGUGCUGAAAUUCUGAUGGAGUUUGGGGCAGAGGAAAAAGAGUAAGACAAUCAGUAGGAAGACAAAUAUUUCCAUUUUCUUUUUAAAUAACUGGUUAUGAUAUGCAUUUUAGGGUCAUGUCCCACCACUCAGCAACAAUUAAUGCUAGAAUAUUGGUUAUGUUAGUGAAUAUGCUUCUUUCCACUUUUUUC
Molecule: long non-coding RNA, 3530 nt
Filed under: Homo sapiens (human)
Lineage: Eukaryota; Metazoa; Chordata; Mammalia; Primates; Hominidae
Description: long non-coding RNA NONHSAT193682.1
Source: RNAcentral